UGUUCCCUUCGUAUGAUUGAUGAUUGCCCAGCCCUCUCAUUUGUCAAGGUUUCUCUGCAGGGCCUCUCUGCCUUUGAGGAAGUCAACAGCUCUUCCCAAUUUAGUGUCAUCUGCAAACUGAUUGAGUAUACUAGCGGUAUAUAAGGGUCUGCAUAGCAAAAGCAACUUAAAAAGAGAUUAUUUGGGGCAACAUUGAAAUAGUAAGGCAUGUCCCUCCUGACCCAGACUGUCACAAGAGCAGCAUACAAUAGAAGACUAGACUAGGAUCCAACAGCCUGAGUUCAAAUCCUUCUAUUCUUGAUCUGCUCAGCAGUAGUGAAAAAGUCAGUGUAUCUCUCUGUUUCCCUUCCCACUGAAGUUCUUGGUUUCUCCUUUCUGUGUUUUGACCUUUUUGCCAGCUUUGACUUUAUCUCUUUGGAGCUGGACCAUCUUUCCCAGUGUUUCCAUAAAGUUCAGUAGAAUGUGUCUCUGGAUCUUUGUGUGAGACUUUAGACACUACCACGAUUGUAAUUUGGCAGGAAGGAAAUUAAUUUCUUUCUUAGGCAGGGAAAUGAUCCCAAAUAUAUAUUAACGUCUGAGACUUGAGGUUCAACAAAUGGCUGUUUGCUUCUGUGGCGUCUACUUUAGCAUGCCAUUGACUUCACAGGAUGUAUGCCGAGGACUGGAGCUGUACAUAUGCUGCAGACAACUUGCCUUUGGCUGAAGACUACAGAAAGCUAGACUGGCAUUAACAGCUGCCUGAAGCACAGAUUGCAGUAAAGUAUAUCAUGUUCAUAUCAUCAUUACAUACCUUGGAUUCCACUGUAAGCCUGAAGUCUGGGGGUGAGGAGAACUGUUUGGGCCAUAAAUACAUUAGCUCAGCAUGAUGAACUGUGUGGAUCUCUUCUUCUUAAGGGAAAAGAAGAAAGUGCUUUUAUUCCACAGUCACAUUCUUGGGACUGCUAUAGUGCAAAUCAAGACAGGAGUUUUUUGCUUGUCACAGAAAACUUGGAGACAUUUCUGUCUGUAACAGAUAUUACUGAUAAUCUCAAUACAUGUAUAUCUGAGGCAAGGUUAAGUGUAAAUCUUCAUUUGCAAUCAAACUCAAAUAAUAAUUCGUGAGUGUGCUUACAGCUACAUCUGCAAUAAUAGUUAUUAUUCAUUAUGCAUUUUGUGGAGUGUUGGCAAUUUUCUUAAAGGGGAAUAGAAGAAAAAUUUUAUAAACAAGUAAGAGAUAAUUAUUAGGAACCCAGGGAAAAGAGAAUUUUGGCUUUUAUGAUGCUUGGACACUGUGGCGAAGAAAUGGACCAAAGGCACAGAGAAUCAAGGAUGAGGAAAAAAAAGGCAUGAUGCUUUUAUGAGGGGAGGACUUGGCAGCAAAAGAAAUGUUUUGCCUUCCCUAAUACUGAAUUUUUCAUAUGGCCAAAAUGAGCAUAAGGGGAAAAAUAAAGCCAGAGAUAGAAAUCCAUCUGACUGAGAAUGGAUCCAAGAGAUUCUUCUUUGUUGUUUUGUUGUCAAAGUUCAAUACAUAGUUGGAAGAUACAGAUUUUUAAAAAUAAUGCAUAUUUUAAAGAAAUUGUAUCCACAACUACCAAAAGCAAGUUCAGCAUGAACAGAAAUGUUGCACUGCUUUCCCUAAUAAGGGAAAAAAGGGCAUAAUAUGAUGUCUCUGAUUGAAAACAUGUUCUCUUUUCUCUCUUGUUUGCUGUCAAAGUCUAACAAACUUAUUUGCAUUCAGUUCUCCCAAAAUUUCUGAUAAUUUUGUCACUUGCAGCCGAACCUUUAUGCCUUGAAACACAGCAUCGCCAGCUCGUCCAAACAAAGUCUUAGCUGCACCAUUUACUGUACACAAACUGAGAUUAAAUAAACAAAUUCUGAAAAUAGGGCAUUAGGGUGUUUGUUUGCACUUGGAAAUCAUCACUAUUUUUUACCUUACCAGAAAAAUUGCCCCACAAAGCAAUUUCCGACCCUUGAUUCAGCAUGCUGCUUCGGCAUCGUUCCCAAUCCCUGUUAAGCCUGAGCAUAAAAAACACCCGAGGCUACUGCGUGCUGCUGCAGAGCACCACACUGUGGGUCAAAGGGACAGUCCUUCUCACCUUUCUUUACUGCCCUCUAUCAAACAAAUAACUUUGAGAUGUUGAAAACAUUUGGAAUUAAUAGAAGAGACCCUACCCCCACGUGCAGAGUGUUUCCAGCGAGCGGCACGGGGCUGUGCAGGUUUCACCUGCACAUUAGCUCAUCCGUGGGCAGUUCCAGCAAGGUUCAGAACAUGAGGCCCUUCUAGCAGGGCUUGCAAAAGCUAAUCCACAGAAUGUUUCUGCUAAUUGAGUCAUGUGCUUGAACAUGUGGAAAUUAAAAUGUAGCUGAACCUUUUUAUCUAAUUGCUAAAUUGAGCUUUGUGUACUUCAGCUGAAAGCAGCGGAGGGGACCUUCCCACUGCACAACGUAUUUGUUGGACUGUGCAUGGACUGAAUGGGCAAUUUAAAACAGUGCUGCUGGAGAAUGAAGCCUGUCACAGCUUUCCGUGGUUACUUCGCAUUAGCGCAGAGCUGUUUCUGUAAAUAUGCAGCCUGAAAAUACUUGGUUACAAACUCUCAUCCAUGCAGAGCUAUGACCGGAUUUGCAAAAACGUGUGGAAAAAAAAGAUGAAAAUUUUCAAGAUUUCUUUACUGCUGCUGAAAAUGAAUCAUCUAUACAUGAAAAUUAUGAAAACUCAAAAAAUGGCACAUUAACAUACAUCUAAAGAAGAACUGCAUAACAAUUAUAUAAAUACUAAGUCUGUACCAAGAUCUAAAACAUAAUUACAGACUCAAUUUUCUGACAGAUGAAAGAGACAAUUUUCCAGAAAUUUGGUUCUGUCUAUGUCUUAAAGAUACUGAAUAAAACCUUUCUUUUUAA
Corvus hawaiiensis (hawaiian crow) is the source of this 2877-nucleotide long non-coding RNA. RefSeq lists it as uncharacterized. The transcript has 2 exons. NCBI's taxonomy places the organism in Eukaryota, Metazoa, Chordata, Aves, Passeriformes, Corvidae. The record is from RefSeq and is a predicted model, not a curated record.